AGAGCGUUCCUGAACGCGUUCCCACAGAUCAGCGCGAGGAGCGCGUGCAAGCAGAGCUGCUGAAGAACGUGAAUGGGUUGGUCUCGUGGAGUGUUCUGGAGGAAUAUCUCUGUCUGAAGAGUCUGUGUUGGUUUGCGCACGUUUGAACGCACUGGAGCGCAAUCGUAUCGGACAGUCCGUUCACUGAGAGACUCGUGCAGGAUCAUCUCGACACAUCCAACUUUAAUGACACAAAUAAAGGCGGGUCCAAAGCCAUGACAUCAGAGGAGGAGGGGCCUGCCGUGGUGGGGGCGGAGCCACCCAUGGACCUGUGUGCCUCUCCUGGCUGGGAUGGGCUUGUUGAAGAAGAGGCGGAGCCUGCUGAGCAGGAGGAGGCGGGGCCUGCGGAGCAGGUGCAGGUGGCUGAUGAUGUCAGCAGUGAGUUAAGCGCUCUGGUCGUCCCGUACCCAGAACUAGCGCCCAUCGUCUUCUUCUGCCUCAAACAGACCACGUGUCCUCGCAGCUGGUGCAUCCGCAUGGUGUCCAGCCCAUAUCCUUAACAACUGCAGCUG
Molecule: RNA transcript, 551 nt
Organism: Sinocyclocheilus grahami
Lineage: Eukaryota; Metazoa; Chordata; Actinopteri; Cypriniformes; Cyprinidae
Gene name: voltage-dependent T-type calcium channel subunit alpha-1I
Exons: 2
Source: RefSeq, a predicted model, not a curated record